Molecule: ribosomal RNA, 497 nt
Filed under: uncultured bacterium
Lineage: Bacteria
Description: partial 16S ribosomal RNA
Rfam family: Bacterial small subunit ribosomal RNA
Source: RNAcentral
GAUGAACGCUGGCGGCGUGCCUAAUACAUGCAAGUCGAGCGAACAGAUGAGGAGCUUGCUCCUCUGACUUUAGCGGCGGACGGGUGAGUAACACGUGGAUAACCUACCUAUCAGACUGGGAUAACUUCGGGAAACCGGAUCUAAUACCGGAUAAUAUAUUGAACCGGAUUGUUCAAUCGUUAAAGACGGUUUUUGUUUCACUUAUAGCUGGCUCCGGGCCGCAUUGACUAGUUGGCUAGGUAACGGCUUAGCCAGGCAACGAUGCGUACCCGACCCCCGAGGGUGAUCGGCCACGCUGGAACUGAGACACGGUCCACACUACUACGGGAGGCAGCAGUAGGGAAUUCUCCGCAAUGGGAGAAGGCGUGACGGAGCAACGACGCGUGAGUGACGAAGGUCUCAGGAUCGUAAAACUCUGUUAUUAGGGAAGAACAAAUGUCUAAGUAACUAUGCACGUCUUGAAGGUACCUAGUAAGAUAGCCACGGCUAACUACGUG